ACUCAAAUGAAUUGACGGGGGCCCGCACAAGCGGUGGAGUAUGUGGCUUAAUUCGAUGCAACGCGAAGAACCUUACCUAGGCUUGACAUGCAUCUCUAAGUUGGUGAAAGCCAGCGAGUGGAGCAAUCCACAAUUUGCACAGGUGCUGCAUGGCUGUCGUCAGCUCGUGUCGUGAGAUGUUGGGUUAAGUCCCGCAACGAGCGCAACCCUUGUGAUCUGUUGCCACCGACCUUCGGGUCGAGCACUCUGAUCAGACUGCCCUGUGAAACGGGGAGGAAGGUGAGGAUGACGUCAAGUCAGCAUGGCCCUUACGCCUAGGGCUGCACACGUACUACAAUGCUCAGUACAGAACGAGCCGAGACCGCGAGGUGGAGGAAAUCACGAAAACUGAGCCCAAUUCGGAUCGCAGGCUGCAACUCGCCUGCGUGAAGCUGGAAUCGCUAGUAAUGGCGCAUCAGCUACGGCGCCGUGAAUACGUUCCCGGGCCUUGUACACACCGCCCGU
This 504-nucleotide ribosomal RNA is filed under the name uncultured bacterium. Its description in RNAcentral is "partial 16S ribosomal RNA". It matches the Rfam family "Bacterial small subunit ribosomal RNA", at positions 899 to 1397 of the family's 1533-position model. The record is from RNAcentral.